This 676-nucleotide ribosomal RNA is filed under the name uncultured Vibrionaceae bacterium. RNAcentral's name for it is "bacterial SSU rRNA". It matches the Rfam family "Bacterial small subunit ribosomal RNA", at positions 8 to 671 of the family's 1533-position model. Lineage: Bacteria; Pseudomonadati; Pseudomonadota; Gammaproteobacteria; Vibrionales; Vibrionaceae. The record is from RNAcentral.
AGAGUUUGAUCAUGGCUCAGAUUGAACGCUGGCGGCAGGCCUAACACAUGCAAGUCGAGCGGUAACAGAAAGAAAGCUUGCUUUCUUUGCUGACGAGCGGCGGACGGGUGAGUAAUGCCUGGGAAUAUACCCUGAUGUGGGGGAUAACUAUUGGAAACGAUAGCUAAUACCGCAUAAUCUCUUCGGAGCAAAGAGGGGGACCUUCGGGCCUCUCGCGUCUGGAUUAGCCCAGGUGGGAUUAGCUUGUUGGUGAGGUAAAGGCUCACCAAGGCAACGAUCCCUAGCUGGUCUGAGAGGAUGAUCAGCCACACUGGAACUGAGACACGGUCCAGACUCCUACGGGAGGCAGCAGUGGGGAAUAUUGCACAAUGGGGGAAACCCUGAUGCAGCCAUGCCGCGUGUAUGAAGAAGGCCUUCGGGUUGUAAAGUACUUUCAGUUGUGAGGAAGGCAGUUAAGUUAAUAGCUUAGCUGUUUGACGUUAGCAACAGAAGAAGCACCGGCUAACUCCGUGCCAGCAGCCGCGGUAAUACGGAGGGUGCGAGCGUUAAUCGGAAUUACUGGGCGUAAAGCGCAUGCAGGUGGUCUGUUAAGCAAGAUGUGAAAGCCCGGGGCUCAACCUCGGAACAGCAUUUUGAACUGGCAGACUAGAGUACUGUAGAGGGGGGUAGAAUUUCA